RNAcentral lists this small nucleolar RNA (129 nucleotides) under Amazona aestiva (blue-fronted amazon). RNAcentral's name for it is "Small Cajal body specific RNA 15". It matches the Rfam family "Small Cajal body specific RNA 15". Rfam says of the family: scaRNAs are a specific class of small nuclear RNAs which localise to the Cajal bodies and guide the modification of RNA polymerase II transcribed spliceosomal RNAs U1, U2, U4, U5 and U12. ACA45 belongs to the H/ACA box class of guide RNAs as it has the predicted hairpin-hinge-hairpin-tail structure, the conserved H/ACA-box motifs and is found associated with GAR1. Lineage: Eukaryota; Metazoa; Chordata; Aves; Psittaciformes; Psittacidae. The record is from Rfam by way of RNAcentral.
CUGGAGGACUAAGAAAGUGGAGCUAGUGACACUAUUGACUCCACUGAUACUAUCCUCCUAAAUUAAAUGGUGGAGGAACAAGGCCUGCCUGUGAGAGAAAGUCAGGGCCUACUUCGUCUACCUACAAGG